This 655-nucleotide ribosomal RNA is filed under the name uncultured bacterium. Its description in RNAcentral is "bacterial SSU rRNA". It matches the Rfam family "Bacterial small subunit ribosomal RNA", at positions 61 to 716 of the family's 1533-position model. The record is from RNAcentral.
GUCGAGGGGUACAGGGAGCUUGCUCUGCUGACGACCGGCGCACGGGUGCGUAACGCGUAUACAAUCUGCCCCUUACUAAGGAAUAGCCCAGGGAAACUUGGAUUAAUGCCUUAUAGUAUCGAGAUAUGGCAUCAUAUUUUGAUUAAAGGUUACGGUAAGGGAUGAGUAUGCGUCCUAUUAGCUUGUUGGUGUGGUAACGGCACACCAAGGCAACGAUAGGUAGGGGCCCUGAGAGGGGGAUCCCCCACACUGGUACUGAGACACGGACCAGACUCCUACGGGAGGCAGCAGUGAGGAAUAUUGGACAAUGGGCGAGAGCCUGAUCCAGCCAUGCCGCGUGCAGGAAGACUGCCCUAUGGGUUGUAAACUGCUUUUGUACGGGAAGAAACGCCCCCACGUGUGGGGGUUUGACGGUACCGUAAGAAUAAGCAUCGGCUAACUCCGUGCCAGCAGCCGCGGUAAUACGGAGGAUGCAAGCGUUAUCCGGAAUCAUUGGGUUUAAAGGGUCCGUAGGCGGAUAAUUAAGUCAGGGGUGAAAGUCUGCAGCUCAACUGCAGGACUGCCCUUGAUACUGGUUAUCUUGAAUCGUUGUGAAGUGGCUAGAAUAUGUAGUGUAGCGGUGAAAUGCAUAGAUAUUACAUAGAAUACCGAUUGC